UACGUAGGGGGCUAGCGUUGUCCGGAAUCAUUGGGCGUAAAGAGCGUGUAGGCGGCCCGGUAAGUCCGCUGUGAAAGUCGGGGGCUCAACCCUCGAAAGCCGGUGGAUACUGUCGGGCUAGAGUCCGGGAGGGGCGAGUGGAAUUCCUGGUGUAGCGGUGAAAUGCGCAGAUAUCAGGAGGAACACCAAUGGCGAAGGCAGCUCGCUGGAACGGAACUGACGCUGAGGCGCGAAAGCGUGGGGAGCGAACAGG
This 253-nucleotide ribosomal RNA is filed under the name uncultured bacterium. RNAcentral's name for it is "partial 16S ribosomal RNA". It matches the Rfam family "Bacterial small subunit ribosomal RNA", at positions 524 to 776 of the family's 1533-position model. The record is from RNAcentral.